This 352-nucleotide transfer-messenger RNA is filed under the name Acidobacteriota bacterium. Its description in RNAcentral is "Acidobacteria bacterium transfer-messenger RNA". It matches the Rfam family "transfer-messenger RNA". From Rfam's summary of the family: Bacterial tmRNA, also known as 10Sa RNA or SsrA, is named for its dual tRNA and mRNA-like properties. Its role is to liberate the mRNA from a stalled ribosome. The record is from RNAcentral. Lineage: Bacteria; Pseudomonadati; Acidobacteriota. RNAcentral also lists the same sequence under 2 other names.
GGGGGCGACCCAGCUUCGACGGAGAUACGGUUCCGUAGGAUGCGUGCCGAGGACCAUCACCCUCGUUAAAAGAUGGAACCAACCUAACUGCGGAUACGCAGCUCGCACUCGCAGCCUAAACCCCUGUGAGCGUCCGUCCUCAUCAGCCUGCGGGUGGGGAACGGAUGUCAAUUCAGCAGGCUGGCUGACGCCGGUCGUCCUGGACGGCGGCAGCGAGAUGUUCCGGGGCUGGCCCCCGGCGGUUCUGGCCGCUUCUUCACGUCGGGGGCGACAAAUCAGAGGCGGAUACGCAUCGUAGAUUCCUGCGGGGAUGUAUUUUCGGACCCGGGUGCAACUCCCGGCGCCUCCACCA